This 591-nucleotide ribosomal RNA is filed under the name Escherichia coli. RNAcentral's name for it is "bacterial SSU rRNA". It matches the Rfam family "Bacterial small subunit ribosomal RNA", at positions 11 to 591 of the family's 1533-position model. The record is from RNAcentral. Lineage: Bacteria; Pseudomonadati; Pseudomonadota; Gammaproteobacteria; Enterobacterales; Enterobacteriaceae.
GUUUGAUCAUGGCUCAGAUUGAACGCUGGCGGCAGGCCUAACACAUGCAAGUCGAACGGUAACAGGAAGAAGCUUGCUUCUUUGCUGACGAGUGGCGGACGGGGGAGUAAUGUCUGGGAAACUGCCUGAUGGAGGGGGAUAACUACUGGAAACGGUAGCUAAUACCGCAUAACGUCGCAAGACCAAAGAGGGGGACCUUCGGGCCUCUUGCCAUCGGAUGUGCCCAGAUGGGAUUAGCUUGUUGGUGGGGUAACGGCUCACCAAGGCGACGAUCCCUAGCUGGUCUGAGAGGAUGACCAGCCACACUGGAACUGAGACACGGUCCAGACUCCUACGGGAGGCAGCAGUGGGGAAUAUUGCACAAUGGGCGCAAGCCUGAUGCAGCCAUGCCGCGUGUAUGAAGAAGGCCUUCGGGUUGUAAAGUACUUUCAGCGGGGAGGAAGGGAGUAAAGUUAAUACCUUUGCUCAUUGACGUUACCCGCAGAAGAAGCACCGGCUAACUCCGUGCCAGCAGCCGCGGUAAUACGGAGGGUGCAAGCGUUAAUCGGAAUUACUGGGCGUAAAGCGCACGCAGGCGGUUUGUUAAGUCAG